This 1216-nucleotide long non-coding RNA is filed under the name Solanum lycopersicum (tomato). RNAcentral describes it as "long non-coding RNA (SLYC_LNC001383)". Lineage: Eukaryota; Viridiplantae; Streptophyta; Magnoliopsida; Solanales; Solanaceae. The record is from RNAcentral.
AUGAUUACACACGUUUUUAUUCAAUCACUUGACGAACAGUCCCAGAAGAGGCAUAUAUAUCCUCUACUAGCUAUAUAGGGAAUACAUAGUGAGUAGUGACAAGGUAACAACGUUGAUCUAGAAGCUUUCAAUGCCGUAGGUCACAUUCAUUGGAUUCAUGACGGAUGAGAUUAUAUUCUUUUUGCAUUGACUUUGACAAUUUUGCGGAGCACAAUAACUUUCUGUUGUUCCACACCAACUCCAAAUACUACAACACUCAUUGCUUUUACAUUUUCCACCACCACCUCCCAUUCCACAUCGCGGAUAUGGAGGUGGAGGUGUAGGUGGAGGUGAGGGUGAAGGUGUGUGUGGACAUUGACUUUGACAAUUUUGCGGAGCACAAUAACUUUCUGUUGUUCCACACCAACUCCAAAUACUACAACACUCAUUGCUUUUACAUUUUCCACCACCACCUCCCAUUCCACAUCGCGGAUAUGGAGGUGGAGGUGUAGGUGGAGGUGAGGGUGAAGGUGUGUGUGGACAUUGACUUUGACAAUUUUGCGGAGCACAAUAACUUUCUGUUGUUCCACACCAACUCCAAAUACUACAACACUCAUUGCUUUUACAUUUUCCACCACCACCUCCCAUUCCACAUCGCGGAUAUGGAGGUGGAGGUGAAGGUGCAGGUGGAGGUGGGGAUGGAGUCGGAGGUGGAGGUGAGGGUGAAGGGGGAGGAGGGGAUGGAGUCGGAGGUGGAGGUGAGGGUGAAGGGGGAGGUGGGGAUGGAGGUGGAGGUGAAGGUGAAGGCGGAGGUGGGGAUGGAGGUGGAGGUGAAGGUGCAGGUGGAGGUGGGGAUGGAGUCGGAGGUGGAGGUGAGGGUGAAGGGGGAGGUGGGGAUGGAGGUGGAGGUGAAGGUGAAGGCGGAGGUGGGGAUGGAGGUGGAGGUGAAGGUGUGUGUGGACAUUGACUUUGACAAUUUUGCGGAGCACAAAAACUUUCUGUUGUUCCACACCAACUCCAAAUACUACAACACUCAUUGCUUUUACAUUUUCCAUCACCACCUCCCAUUCCACAUCGCGGAUAUGGAGGUGGAGGUGAAGGUUCAUGCGGAGGUGGGGAUGAAAGUGGCAUGCCAAAGGUUUCAUUAUGAGGAAGAGAUAGCCUAUCGGCUGAGACAAGGAACAAAUAUUGCAAAGUCACCACACAUAAAACACUUAUAAUUAAGGUCUCCUUCAUU